UACGUAGGGUGCGAGCGUUGUCCGGAAUUAUUGGGCGUAAAGAGCUCGUAGGCGGUCUGUCGCGUCGGUCGUGAAAACUUGGGGCUUAACCCUGAGCUUGCGGUCGAUACGGGCAUGACUGGAGUUCGGCAGGGGAGACUGGAAUUCCUGGUGUAGCGGUGAAAUGCGUAGAUAUCUGGAGGAACACCGGUGGCGAAGGCGGCAUCCUGGACCAACACUGACGCUGAGUGAGCGAAAGCCAGGGGAGCAAACGGG
RNAcentral lists this ribosomal RNA (255 nucleotides) under uncultured bacterium. RNAcentral's name for it is "partial 16S ribosomal RNA". It matches the Rfam family "Bacterial small subunit ribosomal RNA", at positions 524 to 776 of the family's 1533-position model. The record is from RNAcentral.